UCCAUUUCCAGUAACUGUCUUUCCUUCUCGUUUUCGUUUUCCAUUUCCUCUUUUAGGCGUCUCUUUUCUUGUUCGUGUCUUAUUUCAUCCUGUUCUCGUUCCAUUUCAGAUUCUGUCCUGGUUUUCUUCACUGCCAUGGCCAUCAGGUUUAGCUGCAUCACUUUCUCUAAUUCCUUUACCUCUUCCCGUAUUCUUAAUUCACGUUCACAGACAUAUUUGAACAUGUAUUGCAUCCGCUCUCUCAGUUUCAUCACUGGAUUUUGCUGAUCUCUCAUUCGGAAUUUGACAUCUUUAAUGACCUCAUUUAAGAUAUUCAGGACUUCUUCAUGUCUUCCUCGUGUCUUUAUGUGAUCCUCUGGG
Molecule: non-coding RNA, 360 nt
Organism: Pelobates cultripes (western spadefoot toad)
Lineage: Eukaryota; Metazoa; Chordata; Amphibia; Anura; Pelobatidae
Source: the annotation of a GenBank genome assembly